AGGAUUCCAGUUCACAUUCAUCGCUGUCGGUGGGUUAAUGAUGCCGUCAACUCGCUGGUGGAUGAAUGUCAACUGUGUCC
This 80-nucleotide microRNA precursor is filed under the name Poecilia formosa (Amazon molly). RNAcentral's name for it is "miRNA (ENSPFOG00000021536.1)". The record is from RNAcentral. Lineage: Eukaryota; Metazoa; Chordata; Actinopteri; Cyprinodontiformes; Poeciliidae.